AUCCAGCUGACGACUCUCAAAUAAGACGAAACGUGCUUCCUAGAU
This 45-nucleotide non-coding RNA is filed under the name Schistosoma mansoni. The record is from RNAcentral. Lineage: Eukaryota; Metazoa; Platyhelminthes; Trematoda; Strigeidida; Schistosomatidae.